RNAcentral lists this transfer RNA (70 nucleotides) under Quedenfeldtia trachyblepharus (Atlas day gecko). RNAcentral's name for it is "tRNA-Gly". The record is from RNAcentral. Lineage: Eukaryota; Metazoa; Chordata; Lepidosauria; Squamata; Sphaerodactylidae.
ACCCCCUUAGUAUACCCACCAGUACAAAUGACUUCCAAUCAUUAAGCCUUAGCACUUCUAAGAGGGGGUA